ACAAAGGCUUUAAUCAAAGCCAUUCAAAGUGAUAAAGUUAAAAAAU
This is a non-coding RNA of Campylobacter cuniculorum, 46 nucleotides long. The record is from Rfam. NCBI's taxonomy places the organism in Bacteria, Pseudomonadati, Campylobacterota, Epsilonproteobacteria, Campylobacterales, Campylobacteraceae.